Long non-coding RNA from Sipha flava (yellow sugarcane aphid), 493 nucleotides. RefSeq lists it as uncharacterized. The record is from RefSeq and is a predicted model, not a curated record. NCBI's taxonomy places the organism in Eukaryota, Metazoa, Arthropoda, Insecta, Hemiptera, Aphididae. The transcript has 3 exons.
GCAAAACAUGAAAAAUGCCUCCACUGGCAUAAUCGAACAGCUGCAACUAUAUUAGCAGCAUUAUCACUAACAAUCAUAGUGAUUUUAUUGUCUAAUCCCCAUUUAUUCACCUGCUCUUUAAGAAGAGAAGACAUUUAAACAGCUGUGUGUUUGGCUGUGAAAUGUUGACAACCAAUCAGAAUUGAUGACAUUUUCGUAUCAUCAUCGAUAUAAUGUGCAGUAACAGCUACUACUUUCAUAUAACUGAGGCAAAAGGCUAUUGGAUACUGAUUUUCUACUGGGAAGAACAUAACCUGGUGCCAACAUCUGUAUUAAAUUUUUAAAUUCUUUUUCUUCUACGAGACUAAAAGGAUGGAAUUUAUGGAAGUCUGAACGGGUCUAAUAUUGGUUGGUGUUACUGAUGUCAAAAUUUGUGUGGAAGUAUUUGAUGCUGGCAUUCCCGAAGUAGAUGGUUCAUCUAUAUUAUGUUCCUCAAUAUGCUCAGUCAUGGUAU